This is a long non-coding RNA of Lolium rigidum, 1025 nucleotides long. RefSeq lists it as uncharacterized. The record is from RefSeq and is a predicted model, not a curated record. The transcript is spliced from 5 exons. NCBI's taxonomy places the organism in Eukaryota, Viridiplantae, Streptophyta, Magnoliopsida, Poales, Poaceae.
CGCUGCAGCACACACGCGGACGGCCGCCGACUCCGCCUAGAUCCCGACGGGAGGCGGCGAUGGAGGUCCAUGGCAGCCCCCAAGGGUUCACUCAGCUCCUCCUAAGCAUGGGAGUUCCAGGCCUAGAUUGGCCGGGGCUAGAUCGGGAGGACGCAAUCCGGACGGAAGACGAGUGCAGCAGCCCUAGCUGGAGCGCCGAGUAUGGGAGAUCUGGAUUCAGCGGCGGAUUUCACGGAGAUCUCGGUGCUGAAAUCCGUCCAGUUAUCUGGAAACAAGUUCACACGUUAUCGAAGAGGAACAACUGACGCCAGAGUAUUCCCAUGUUUCUGCAUCAGAAUCUCCCGAGUCUACACAUUACACGAAUAAGAGGCAAUAUGAUGUCAUGGUAGAAGACGAGCAUCCGCACGUCCCUGCAGCUGGAUCAUCCGAUUCGCCGACAGAACCUGAUUCAUGGGUGAAGAGGCCGCGAUUCGGGAAGAUACCUGAUUUCAGAACAGCGAAAAAUGGGAGGAAGAGCACUUUGGAAUUGAGAAUGAGAAAAUUUGGAAAUAGGAAUUCAGAUGAGGUUGUUGCUCCUGAACCAGGAAUGGAGUUUGACUCCUUACCAGAAGCUUUCGACUUCUUCAAUCUCUACUCCUUGUCAGGAACCUAAGGGACAAUAAUGUCGGGCUCAGCCAGGUGUACACCGUCAUUGGGAGCUUCUUUGGAUCAAUGGAUAACGUACCAUUCGGACGCAAGAAUAACUAUGAUAUCUGUCGCCCAUACGACGUGUCUACUCGAUUUACCUAAGAGAAAAGUGGCCAUGUGUUUGAAAGUACUUCAGUGUACAUCGUUAUGUACCACAUAUGCAAUUGUAAAGUACCUUAUAUCCUUUAGACAGGCACCGGAUAACGCUCGCAAGAUAUGUCUGCCAGAGUGUUUACUAGUACUUCAAUGGACGUUGUCACGUACCACAUGAGGUAGUUGCCAAGUACCUCAUGUCCUUACGACGAGCACCGGAUAAACUCGCGAGAUAUCUUUUGCCA